This 443-nucleotide long non-coding RNA is filed under the name Ananas comosus (pineapple). Its description in RNAcentral is "long non-coding RNA (ACOM_LNC009500)". Lineage: Eukaryota; Viridiplantae; Streptophyta; Magnoliopsida; Poales; Bromeliaceae. The record is from RNAcentral.
AUAAUUCGUAUCAAUAUUUUUUUCUUCCAAAUCUAUAAAGGCUAAAAUACAUAAAACAUUUAUGUCAAAACUUGAUUUUUCACUUUUCUCUCAUGUUAUUUAAAAACCUAUAUUUUAUCCCUUUUGUAAAAUAAAAAAUAUUCACUUCACCCCCUACCGUUAAUAAUCCGUUAGGGUUCCGUUUAUAAAAUAUUAUUAUAUUUUUUUAUGCCAAAAAUAUCCUCAGUCUUCUCUCCUAUAAACAUGAUGAGAGGCAAAAUGGUAAAAGGCAAAAUGAUCAUUUUAUUAUCACAAUUCACACCGUACACCCUGUGAACAUUUUUCAUUUUACAAGGGGGCAAAAUGUAGGUUUUAAAUGACAGGAAAAAAAGUAAAAAAUCGGAUUUUGAGAGGGGGGUUUUCUGUAAUUUAGCCAUCUAUAAAUAUGAUGGUAAAUACUCUUU